This is a transfer RNA of Monosiga brevicollis MX1, 73 nucleotides long. It matches the Rfam family "tRNA". Rfam says of the family: Transfer RNA (tRNA) molecules are approximately 80 nucleotides in length. Their secondary structure includes four short double-helical elements and three loops (D, anti-codon, and T loops). NCBI's taxonomy places the organism in Eukaryota, Choanoflagellata, Craspedida, Salpingoecidae. The record is from Rfam.
GGGGAUAUGGCGCAGUUGGAAGCGCGUUAGACUGAAGAUCUAAAGGUCCCGCGUUCGAUCCGCGGUGUUCCCA